CUUUGCCAUGGAAACAUAGUAAGAAAACAACAAGGUUACUUUAAAACCCCCAGUGGAGCUGCAUUCCCUCUCUGGUCCAUGCUGAUCUGAAAGUGAAUGAGAACGAUCAUCAGCAGUGCUGUUAUGGGAUUCUAAACUCUGUUAGCAAUGGCUAGUCAUGUAGAUAAUGUGUAAAUAAACUACCUGCAUGCUGUUCUGCAUGGCUAUGAGCUGUUACCCAAGCUACCCCACCUUCAGCCCUGAGGUCAUGGGGUCUAGCAAGUGACCAUGGGAUUCUCCUUGCAGAUGGCUCUGAACAGCAGUUCUCCACUAGGUGACCUUGCCUGCCAGGGGACAUUUGGCAGUGACUGGAGAUGUUUUGGGUUGUCCCCAGUGGGGGGCUGCUACUGACAUCUGUGAACAGAAGCCAAGAAUGCUUCUAAACAUCCUGUGGUGCCCUGGACAGCUGGUCCACCAAGACUGUCAGCAGAGCUGAAGUGGAGAAACCCAGGUUUAGAGUGUGACACAGGAAGCCUGCUCUUGUGGUCUUUGUUCAUUAGCUGAUCCGGUGACCCCCUGAAUGUAUUAGCCUGAUGUUCCCAGUUUUAUGACAUUUACUCAGAGAAAGGACUUUGAGUAAUUGAGAGGAAGCAGAAUAGCCUUUAUAUUUUCUUCCUCCUUUGGUUCCUUAGAAGAAACAAAGAAAUUCACUGAGGCCAGUGCCUGCCCAACAUCCAAGACCCAUAGCACAUGCUGCUCCUGGCUGUGGUGUUGCUGUCUGAAUAGCUAGAAGCCAUGUUACCUAAUACUAAAUAUUUAGUUAUUUAUCUUUAUCUGCAAAAUAAACCUUCAUUAUUUAUGAGCCACCAUGUGGUUUCACAUUAGGCAUCUUUUUGCUUAAUAUAUAUUCUGUUAAGAGAGUUUUCUGGGUGUUUCUACCAAUCAAAAAGCAUUGGGCGGGGCUGGGGAUGUGGCUCAAGCGGUACCGCGCUCACCUGGCAUGCGUGUGGCCUGGGUUCGAUCCUCAGCACCACAUACAAACAAAGAUGUUGUGUCCACCGAAAACUAAAAAGCAUUGGGCACCAGUUGCAGUGGCCACUCCUGUAAUCCCAGCUACUUGGGAGACUAUGGCUGGAGGAUCAAAAGUUCAAGGCCAACCUCAGCAAUUUAGCUAGAUCCUCUCUCAAAAUUUUAAAAAAUAAUGGGGCUGGGGUUGUGGCUUAGUGGUAGAACACUUGCCUAGCAUGUUUGAGGCACUGGGUUUGAUCUCCAGCACCACAUAAAAAUAAAAACAAAUAAAUAAAGUAUUGUGC
RNAcentral lists this long non-coding RNA (1292 nucleotides) under Marmota monax (woodchuck). Lineage: Eukaryota; Metazoa; Chordata; Mammalia; Rodentia; Sciuridae. The record is from RNAcentral.